This is a non-coding RNA of Callithrix jacchus (white-tufted-ear marmoset), 6775 nucleotides long. Lineage: Eukaryota; Metazoa; Chordata; Mammalia; Primates; Cebidae. The record is from RefSeq and is a predicted model, not a curated record.
GCACCUGGAGGAAGGAACACUGACAGCUUGGGAAGCUGGACCCACUCAGAGACCCUGCUCUGGCUCUGAACCCAGGUGCCUCUGCAGGAUCUGCGGGGCCUCCGGAAGCCAGUGGGCAUUACUGACUCUAAGAACUCUAAGAAGGUCCCGCUCGAACUGGAUCUUCAUGGCCUGCAGGUUGACCUCCAGCUGCAGAUUGGCAUUUUCAGUGUCCUGCAGCUCAUCCUCCAACUCCUCCAGCUGGGUCUUCAACUCCUUCACCUGCUGCUCCAGAAGCCACCUGGACUUCAGCUCAUGGACCUGAGCCCCAGAGAUCCCAAGUCAGGAGCAAAGAGACUGACAGGGACCUGGGUCUGCUAGACCCGGAAGGCUGCUUCUCGGAACCAUCACGCCGGAGCCCAGAAGGCUGGAGCGUCAGGACGCGGCUGAUGCUGGAGUCUGCACUGGGUGAGGCCUUCUGAACAUGUGUUUCAUGUACUCAGCCAUGCACCGUUCUGCAACUUUGCUGUUGGACUAUUGUUUCCACUCACCUCUGAGCCUGUGUCUCCAUUAGUGAGAUGGGGCUAGAAGCACACAGGACCUUCCCACGAGGUGCCACCCUGCAAGGUUCCCACCCCAGCGCCCUCGCAUGAAGCUGGCUCAGCUUGGCACCGCCCACCCUUACCCGCCACUUCCACAGCUGCUCGAUGGCUUCAUCCCAGUUCUUGUUGGCCGAGUCAAUGUGCGCCUCCAGGUCAAUCUCCAGCUUCUUCCGGGCGGCCACUGCCAUGGAGUGCCUCUUCCUCUCGUCCUCCAGCUCUGCCUCCAUCUCCCGCACCUGAAGGAACACUGACAGCUUGGGAAGCUGGACCCACUCAGAGACCCUGCUCUGGCUCUGAACCCAGGUGCCUCUGCAGGAUCUGCAGGGCCUCCGGAAGCCAGUGGGCAUUACUGACUCUAAGAACUCUAAGAAGGUGAGUCGUUGACCCGAGGGACAGGGGACUGGACAGGAGGGACAGGGAAGGGGAGGCGUGGUCCAGGGCCCUAACACAAUACAGGUGGAAGGAGGAAAUGGAAGCCUGGGUGAAGCCAGGGCAACCCUGGCCAUCGUGGGGUAGCAGGAGCCCACACACACCUGUCUGACCAGCUGCUGCUGCUUCUCCUCACUCUGCUCGUCCCGGCCCUGCAGGUCCCGCUCGAACUGGAUCUUCAUGGCCUGCAGGUUGACCUCCAGCUGCAGAUUGGCAUUUUCAGUGUCCUGCAGCUCAUCCUCCAGCUCCUCCAGCUGGGUCUUCAACUCCUUCACCUGCUGCUCCAGAAGCCACCUGGGCUUCAGCUCAUGGACCUGAGCCCCAGAGAUCCCAAGUCAGGAGCAAAGAGACCGGCAGGGACCUGGGUCUGCUAGACCCAGAACGUGUGUAUGCGUUGACCCUCUGUGAUGACCCCGCUCGGGCCCCUCCCAAGGCCUGGCUGCCAGGCCCGGCACUCACGCUCUUGCCCUUGGAGCUCAUGAUGUCCUCCAUCUCCACGCGGAACUGCUUGUUGAGCCGCUCCAGCUCCACUUUCUGCUCCAUGGCUUCCUUCAGGGCCCGGGCCAGCGACAGCGCCUUGGUCUCCUUCUCUUGGGCCUCGGCCUCGGCCCGGUCACGCUCCUCUGCAUACUUGGCAGAGAUGGUCUUCUCCUCUGCCAGGAGCUGGGAAAGAGAGGGGCACCAUGAGGCUCAGCCCCACAGGCUCCGAGCUACAGCCCCAGCAGGGCAGAGCAGCUGGGCCCAAGCUAAUUUUUGUAUUCUUAGUACAGAUGGGGUUUCACCAUGUUGGCCAAGCUGCUCUUGAACUCUUGACCUGGUGAUCUGCCCGCCUCGGCUUCCCAAAGUUCUGGGCUUAUAGGCAUAUAAGCCCAUGCCCAGUCAAGAGUGCAUUCUUUAGAGUAUACAGGCCCACAGUCUCUGCAGUAACUCAACCCCACUACCACAGCGCAACAACCAGAGAUGACACAAGAACGACACAGUGUGUGUGUGCGUUCGGUCCAGCUUUCUCCCCAAAACGCAGCGGGCUCAAUGUCUAUCCCGCCGCAGUUCCAUGCUCGAUGUCUAUCCCGCCCCGGUUUUCACAUCUCCCUCAGCUUCCCUCAGAUCUUUUGGAAUAAGGAAGCAAUAUGAGUGCACAAAUAAAUGGUGUAAAUGGCAGGAAAACCAGUUCAUUAUAGAAAAUAAUGGGGUUCCUCCUCAACCCACUGCAUGAAGACACCCUCUUCCGCUGGCCUUCUCCCCCAGCCCCUCAACAAGCCAGAGACUAGGGGUCCUCUAAGUGCUGGCCCCACACGACCCCUCCCGGGCAAGGUCUCGAGGGAGCCCAGGCUUUCUCUGAUGAGGCCCUCACCUUGGGCUGAGUGCCGGAAGGAGAGGAAAUGCAAAGGAUGGGGUGGAUGGCUACACACCUGGUCAAACUUCUUCUGCUUCUCCUGCAGGUUGCACACCCUCUGGCGCUGCUUGUCCAGCUCCCGCUGCAGCCAUGUCUUGGUAUUCUCCAUCUUCUCAGGUCGACCCUCCAGGUCAUCCCGGAGCUGCCUCUUCACCUCCUUUGCGGUUUCCAGGCACCCCACACUGUCAAUUCUCUUCUUCAUGUCGGCCACCUGGGCAGGAGCAAGGAGUAAGCAGAUCCCCGAGAUGGCACCUGCUCAGGUCACACACCUGUCCCUGGGGCAGCUGUUCCCAGAAGGAAUUCUUCUCAUCCUCCACCUGCUUGAGGUUGGUGCUCAGGCCCAGAUUCUGCCGGUUCUCCUCCUGCAGCAGCUCCUAAUCCCGGGAUGAGAUAAAUGCGGGUGCUCAGGAGAGUAGUUUCUGAACCCCAGGGACCCCACACCCUGGAGAAGAGGGAGGAGCCAGUCCUGCUGAUUCACGGGAUGACCACGUAAGGACCUGGUGGGAGUUGGGAGAACGCAGAGACCGCCCCCCCAGGAUGAAAAGGAACAUGGGCAAUCUGACGGGUUCUAGAGCUAAUAGGCAGAGGGGCCUUCCAGGAGGAGUCCACCUUCCGGGAACCUGGUUUUUCAUGGGAUAUUGAGCAAGUCCAUGUUGGCUGCCAAAUACAAAAUUACUGCUACUGAGAAAUAGGCUCACUACUAGCUUGUCAGUGAUGUCACCUUUGGACCGACAUCAUCAAUCAGGUCUCAGUUGGUCAUAGCUCUGACAGCUGAGGCCUGAUUCACAAUGGCAGUCAAAAAUGAUACUCACUUGACAUUCUAGAAGCCCCAGAAAAAGACAUUUCUCUUCAAGACAAAGAAAUGCAUCUUACGUGAGGUGACAUCUCCUCCGCAAUCCUCGCAGUCCUACCCUCCUCCGGGUCUUGAAUGGGAGCUAGGAGGACACAGAGAGACAGUCAGUGCACUGGUGCUGUGAGGAAUCCCACAAGGAGGCUUGGGGGACGUGGACUGAAGCUGCAGUGUAUGGAGCUGGGCUGCUGACAAGCAUGGACUGAGCUGCUGCUGGACCACUCUCCUUGGUGUUGAAGGAAGGCAAAGGAGAGGGGCAGAAAGAAACCAAAGAGCCUUGGGCUUUCCAGCUACGGCAACCUCAUCACUGUGAAAUAGUCUGAGAACCGGUUAACACAGAAAGGCACUGCAUGGCUCAGCGAGAGCAUCUCAUCAGACCUGCUGCCCACGUGAAGGUCUAGGCGAAUCCCAACAUUUUAUGAAACGUUACAGGAUUAUUUAACUUCUGUGGAUCUGCAUAUCCUGAUACUACAAUUAUCAUCUAUCCUGUUGCAUUUUUAAAAUUGUAGUAAAGCACACAUAUUUAUUAUUUUAGUUAUUAACUGUGCAUUUUAAUGAUAUUAUAUUCAGUGAAUAACAUUCAUGAUGCUGUGUCAAUAAUGAGAAAAAUCUAAAUUCAUAAUCUAGCUUCCACCUUGGGCAAUGAAAGGAAAACAGCAGUGUAAUGUCAAAUAGAGGAAAAAUACAUGAUUGCAGAAAUUAAAGGAAUAAAAAACAGGAAAUCAUCAGAGAAAAUCAACAAAACCAAAAAACAGUUCUUUGAAAAGAUCAAAAACAUUGGUAAACCUCUACCUUGUCUAACCACAAAGGAAAAGAAGGAAGUCACGAUGUACUAAUAUCAGUUGAAGAUGAGUGGAAUCAAAAAUAAUAAUAAAGGAAUAUUGUGAACACAUCUGUGCUCACACUUGGAUACAUUAUAUGAAAUGAGCUAAUUUUUUGGAUCUGUUUCAGAAGGUUAAAAGUCUUCUCAGGAUAAAUGAAUCAUCUGAAUAGGCCUAUAUUUAUUUUAGAAAUUGAAUCAAUAAUUAGUAUCUUCUCAAAAAAAAAAAAAACACUACCUUCAGAUGAAUUCACCGGUAAAUUCUACCAAAAUUCUCACAAAGAAAGGUAGUCUUACCAUACAAGCAAGUAACCAUAACUUUAGCAUUGCCUUAGUUACACUGUAAAAAUUAUGUUUCCAAACAAGACACAAGAAGGUUUAUACCUGCUGUAUUCAUAAUUGCCCAAACUGAAAGCAAACCUCUAAAUAUUCGAGAUGUCCUUUACUAUCAAAAGUGAACCAAGCCUGGACAACAUGGUGAAAUCCUGUCUCUACAAAAAAAGUAACAUUUAAAAAAAAUAGCUUGGUAUAAAGCAUGUGCAUUACAGCCAACUGCUUGGGAGGCUGAGGUAAAAGGAUCAGCUGAACAUGGGGAGGUCAAGAUUGCAAUGAGCUGUGAUUGCACCAAUGCACUCCUGGGUGACAAAAAUGAGACUUUCUCACAAAAAUAAAGUAACAAAAAGAACCAAACUCUAAGUUGUCAACGUAACUUUCCUUGUGUAGUUGCAUCACCCGUUGAUUAAAUGCAUUUCAGUGGGCACGAACGAAAUAAAUGAAGAACCUGACACAGCAUUUACUGAGUUUCUCUCAUAUGGGACACUGGAUGAGUAAACUGAAAUUAUUUGCUUCAGUCAACUUCAUGAUAUAAUUUCCACACUACCUUCAUUUUCACUGCGGCAAAUUUUCUUACGCCUCCUUUUUGCUGCCCAGCUCCUGGCGCGGCCAGCCAAACCUGCAAGGCAGAAAUGCAUCAUAAUAGACAGUGCUUGACAUCUUGCUGGCAGAGGACCACGGAGAAAUUAGUAAAAACGUUCUCAGUUUAAACUUUUGAUCCUAGUUUUCACCGACUGCUUUUCAAUGCUACCUGAAUUAGAUCUGGGUUCUAGGAAGAUUUGUUUGUGCAGGCAAAUACCUUUAUUCAGAUGAGACAAUACAGAGAAGCAGAAGUUCCAAGUUACCAAAAAAUAGGCUGGGUUCAAAUCCUACUUAGAAUCUGCACAUAACUGGGAGAGGGAUAUGAACCCUUCUGUGCCUCUCUUUCCUAUUCUCAGAUGUGGAAACAUUAUUAGAUCUAGGCUAUAGACCUACUAAGCUCUAUAGUGUCUAAAAGGAUGAAAUGCAGAUAAAGACUUAAAUAGACUCAUGUUUUUGGAAAUGCCCUAAAAUGUUCAAUCAAUGUCGGGAAGAAUAAUCCAGACACUUGGUAGUGGUUGAAUACAGAGAGGGAGCUUGCGUGUCUCUGCGCAGGGUUAGGAUGGAAAGUGACUUCACAGUUUCCAUGGCCACAUGAUUUCCAGCUCAUGACAGAGAUCUGUGAUUUCCCUGAUCCCCAAGUCAGCCCCAAGGGACAGGCAGGGAAGGGGCUACAACCCGUAUUUUCAAAUUCAGUGAAUUCAAAUUCAGACAUUUUGAGUGACUUGCCGUCACCACAGUGAGGAGUGAUAGGUCUGAGGUAAUCAUGUGGUUGGUUCCCCGGGGAGAGAGAUCCCGGAACACCUGAGUCCUCUAGAUCAUGCCCUGGACCCUGGACCGAGAGCUCUUCUCACAAGCUCUGUGAAAUCCUGCUGCCCCAGUGUUUCUGUGGGAUGGUUGAGGCUAUGGAGAGGUCGCAGGUGGCUUACCGCAGUUACUGACCUACUCUAUUAUCCCUAUGUUGUCACUUUUAGUAGUUUUAUGACCCAUAAGGCAAACAUUUUAAGUCUCAGUUAUGAUGCACGGUCUGAGAUUUUACCUGAAUCCACUCUUUCCACCCAUCUGGUGAUUCUCAUCUGCUGGGCUGGAGCUGGCCUGCCGUAAAAGAGGACACACGGCAUACCACGGAGCGGCUGUGCGCCCCACUCCUGUGCACACUCUUGCCUUGCUUCUGCUUUCCCAGCUCUGACAAUCCUAAUUCUGGCUUCCAAACCAAUCCUGUACAUCCCUCUCAGUUCUCAGACUUGCCUCAACUGUUGGAUAUUUUAAUCACUGUUGCGACCAUGACUGAACGGUGACAUUUCAUAUGCCAUAGUAUAUGUUUAUCUUUUUACAUGUUUCUUAAUAGCAUUUAACUUAUUGUUUCAGACUUUUAGGAACAUUUCUGGGCUAGGUGUGCUGGCCCAUGGCUGUAAUCCUGACAGUUUUGGAGGUUAAGGCAGAAGAACUGCUUGAGGUCAGAUGUUUGAGACCAACCUGGGCAACACAGUGAGACCUCGACUCUAGAAAAAAUCUACAAAUUACCAGAUGUGGCGGUGAGCCCUUGUAUCUUUAGCUACAUGGAAGGCUGUUGUGGGAAGAUCGUUUGAGCCUAGAAGAUUGAGGCUGCAGUGAGCUAUGAUCACGCCACUGCCUGGGUGACAAAGCAAGACCCUGUCUUUUCACAAUAAAAAGCAUUACUGUGUCACAAGUAUCCCCAUUUUAUUUCUCAUUAUCUAAUAUUGCUGUUUUCAUCCUGAGGCUUAAUUGCUUUAGUAAGCUAAGAAAAAAAAAGUUGUUUUUUUUUUUUU